UGAAUACGAGACGCUACGGCGUCGAAGCAGUCUAUGUCAUACUUCCAAGAAAAGCUUGCACUGUCAUAAACAAAUAAUGCCUGUACCAUAACCGACACAGGUGGGUAGGUAGAGUAUACUAAGGGGCGCGAGAUAACUCUCUCUAAGGAACUCGGCAAAAUGACUCCGUAACUUCGGGAGAAGGAGUGCCUUAUUUAUAAGGUUGCAAUAACAAGAUCCAAGCAACUGUUUAUCAAAAACACAGGUCUCCGCUAAGUCGUAAGACGAUGUAUGGGGGCUGACGCCUGCCCAGUGCCAGAAGGUAAAGAAGUUGGUUAGCAUUAGCGAAGCUGAUAACUGAAGCCCUGGUGAACGGCGGCCGUAACAAUAACGGUCCUAAGGUAGCGAAAUUCCUUGUCGGGUAAGUUCCGACCCGCACGAAAGGCGUAAUGAUUUGGAUACUGUCUCAGAGAGGGGCUCGGUGAAAUAGACUUGUCUGUGAAGAUGCGGACUACCUGCACCAGGACAGAAAGACCCUAUGAAGCUUUACUGUAACUUGAAAUUGAAAUUGGACUUUAUUUGCGCAGUAUAGGUGGGAGGCAUUGAUAAUAUUCUUGCGGGAAUGUUGGAGCCAUCAGUGAGAUACCACUCUUGUAAUGUUAGAUUUCUAACUUUGGAUCAUUAUCUGGUCAAAGGACAGUUUCAGGCGGGCAGUUUGACUGGGGCGGUCGCCUCCUAAAUGGUAACGGAGGCGCACAAAGGUUUCCUCUGAACGGGUAGAAAUCGUAUCUAGAGUGUAAAGGCAUAAGGAAGCUUGACUGUGAGACCUACAAGUCGAGCAGGGACGAAAGUCGGUCUUAGUGAUCUGACGGUGCUGAGUGGAAAGGCCGUCACUCAACGGAUAAAAGUUACUCUAGGAUAACAGGCUGAUCUCCCCCAAGAGUUCACAUCGACGGGGAGGUUUGGCACCUCGAUGUCGGCUCAUCGCAUCCUGGGGCGGUAGUACGUCCCAAGGGUUGGGCUGUUCGCCCAUGAAAGCGGUACGCGAGCUGGGUUCAGAACGUCGUGAGACAGUUCGGUCCAUAUCCGGUGUAGGCGUUAGAAUAUUGAGAGGAGCCUUCUUUAGUACGAGAGGACCGAGAAGGACAUACCUCUGGUGUACCAGUUAUCGUGCCAACGGUAAACGCUGGGUAGCUAUGUAUGGAGAGGAUAACCGCUGAAAGCAUCUAAGUGGGAAGCCCACCUCAAGAUAAGUAUUCUC
This 1240-nucleotide ribosomal RNA is filed under the name metagenome. RNAcentral's name for it is "bacterial LSU rRNA". It matches the Rfam family "Bacterial large subunit ribosomal RNA", at positions 1564 to 2815 of the family's 2925-position model. The record is from RNAcentral.